CUGUUACCUGAGGUGUCAUGGC
This 22-nucleotide microRNA is filed under the name Caenorhabditis remanei. RNAcentral describes it as "crm-miR-64d-3p". Its record names the gene crm-miR-64d-3p. Lineage: Eukaryota; Metazoa; Nematoda; Chromadorea; Rhabditida; Rhabditidae. The record is from miRBase by way of RNAcentral.